AGUGAACGCUGGCGGUAUGCCUAACACAUGCAAGUCGAACGGCAGCACAGUAAGAGCUUGCUCUUACGGGUGGCGAGUGGCGGACGAGUGAGGAAUACAUCGGAAUCUACUUUUUCGGGGGGGAUAACGUAGGGAAACUUACGCUAAUACCGCAUACGAUCUACGGGUGAAAGCAGGAGAUCUUCGGACCUUGCGCGAUUGAAUGAGCCGAUGUCGGAUUAGCUAGUUGGCGGGGUAAAGGCCCACCAAGGCGACGAUCCGUAGCUGGUCUGAGAGGAUGAUCAGCCACACUGGAACUGAGACACGGUCCAGACUCCUACGGGAGGCAGCAGUGGGGAAUAUUGCACAAUGGGCGCAAGCCUGACCCAGCCACACCGCGUGCGUGAAGAAGGCCUUCGGGUUGUAAAGCCCUUUUGUUGGGAAAGAAAAGCAGCAGGUUAAUACCCGGCUGUUCUGACGGUACCCAAAGAAUAAGCACCGGCUAACUUCGUG
RNAcentral lists this ribosomal RNA (492 nucleotides) under uncultured bacterium. RNAcentral describes it as "partial 16S ribosomal RNA". It matches the Rfam family "Bacterial small subunit ribosomal RNA", at positions 29 to 507 of the family's 1533-position model. The record is from RNAcentral.